UAAUUUUUGAGUUAUUUGGGACAUUUGUAGGUACUAUAAGUGCGUUUCAGUUCCCAAAGAAAAAUUUAAGGAACUCAGGGACCACCCAUAGGUGUAGUAACCAUCUAAUUUUAGCAUCGAAUCAAGUAAGGACCCCUCACUCUAUUUCCUACCAUAAAUGUGAAGUUUGAAUAAAUAGUAAUACGGUCUUUUGUACAAGUUAGAUAGAUAUGCAUAAUUAAUUACGAAUUGCUAAUGGAGCCCAAAAUCGGAUAUUGUUCUCUGUUGAUUCUGUUGAUUUAUUUUAC
RNAcentral lists this long non-coding RNA (287 nucleotides) under Carica papaya (papaya). RNAcentral's name for it is "long non-coding RNA (CPAP_LNC011308)". The record is from RNAcentral. Lineage: Eukaryota; Viridiplantae; Streptophyta; Magnoliopsida; Brassicales; Caricaceae.